CGAGUGGCGGACGGGUGAGUAAUGUCUGGGAAACUGCCCGAUGAGGGGGAGUAACUACUGGAGACGGUAGCUAAUACCGCAUAACGUCGCAAGACCAAAGAGGGGGACCUUCGGGCCUCUUGCCAUCGGAUGUGCCCAGAUGGGAUUAGCUAGUAGGUGGGGUAAAGGCUCACCUAGGCGACGAUCCCUAGCUGGUCUGAGAGGAUGACCAGCCACAUUGGAACUGAGACACGGUCCAAACUCCUACGGGAGGCAGCAUG
RNAcentral lists this ribosomal RNA (260 nucleotides) under uncultured bacterium. RNAcentral's name for it is "partial 16S ribosomal RNA". It matches the Rfam family "Bacterial small subunit ribosomal RNA", at positions 92 to 353 of the family's 1533-position model. The record is from RNAcentral.